AAAAAAAAAAAAAAAAUUCAGACGCUUUUCUGCUAUGUUUUAAACUGAAAUGGGACCCCGGGGCGUGACAGUCGCUAUAAACUAAAAGAGUGCUGCUAAUUUACCAGCACUUAUUUAAGUAUUUAGCAACCGCCGAAACUCUAUCUCGUUGGCUGCGGUGGCGGAGGAGGACGACAGGAAAGGCUCUUAGUCUUGAAUUUCAGUGGAUUGAGUGAAGAGAGAAAAGAAAAGAUGGUAAUUGAUUUUUUUUUUUCUGUUUGUAAUCGGGCCAAAUGGACUGGGUGUGGUGAGUUGAGUAGAGUAAUAUUUUAUUUUUGGUUGGAUUGGGCUUUAUAUUUAGGCAUUAGUAGAUGUUUUUUUAAGUUUUAGGAUAAAUGGGACACUUACUCAAAAGUGUCCUAAACAUGUGUCCCUAUAAUCUAAUUCUGUUGUAGUGAUUGAUUCAUAUUUUUAGUUAAAUUUAUUUCUAAAAAAAAUAAGUGAAGCGAGUAACAUUCUACCUUUCUUUAAAAAAAAAAAAAAAUUAGUGGUUAUCUAUCUGUUCUAGUGCUUUUGCCUAAUAAUGGUAGUUCUUGUUGUAGUGCCAGCACUACUAUAGUGCUGGUGAUCUCAUUAAUAGACUUUUUUUAUAAAACAACCCUCUAGAAAUUUAAAUUUUGCGAAAUAAUCCUCUCAAGAUUUUAUUUGGAAAACUAACCCUCCUUUCGUCACGUUGGCGCCACGUCAGAAUUUGUUUUAAAGCCGGUGAAUAGUUCCCCGCUUUCUCCUACUUUUUUUAAAGGCAGUGAAUUAUUUUCCGCUUUCUCCCAUUUCUUUUAAAAGCGGUGAUUCACCGUCUUUCAUUUAUUUACUGUUUCUUUCUAUAUCCCAUAUAUAAUCCUAACAACCACAUAAAAAUUUUAACAAAUCACAUAUAAUCUUAACAACCUUUAAAUCUUAAUAAUUUAUCCAUAUAAUUUCAUAUAAUCUUAACAGUCUGAAAAUCCUAAUAAUCUAUCCAUAAUCAAAUAAAAAUUCUAAGAUCUACAUAUAAUCCUAACAACCUCACUUUCACUAUAACAAAAACGGUCUAUAGCGACACUUUUAAAUGUAGGUAUAGGUUAAAAAAAGUGUUGCUGGCUAAAUUACCGACACUUUUAAAAAGUGUUGCUAUAUGUGGGGUCGCUAGGUAUAUAGUGACAGUUAAAGAGUGUCGCUAUAACCUAAAAAAGUGUUGGUAAUUUAGCAACACUUAUUUAAGCAUCUAGUAACCAACGGAACUCUACCUCGUUGGCUGCUGUGGCGGAGGAGGACAAGAGGGAAUGGCUCUUCGUCUAGGAUUUCAGUGAAUUGAGUGAGGGGAGAAGGGGAGAUGGUAAUUAAUUUUCUUUUUUUUUUCUUUUUUAUUUGGAAUCGAGCCAAAUGGGCUGGGUUGGGUGGGUUGAGUAUAGUAACCUUUUAUUUUUGUUAGAUUCGGUUUUAUAUUUAGGCAUUAGUAGAUAUUUUUUUAAAUUUUAAUAUAAAUGGAACACUAAGACAAAAGUGUCCCAAGCAUGUGUUCCUAUAACCUAAUUCUGUUGUAGUGUUUUUUCUAUUUCCUAUAUAAUUCAUGCAUAAUUUUAAUGAAUGCGGUGAACGAUUCACCGUCUUUAAAAGAAAUGGGAGAAAACGGGGGAUGAUUCACCACCUUUAAAAGAAAUGGGAGAAAGCUUGGAACGAUUCACCGCCUUUAAAAAAAAUUGGAGAAAACGAGAAACAGUUCACCACCUUUAAAAGAAAUUCUGACAUGGCGCCGGCGUGGCGAAAGGAGGGUUAGUUAUCCAAAUAAAAUUUUGAUAGAGCCAUUUUACAAAUUUUAAAUUUUCACAGAAUUAUUUUAUAAAAAAAUCUCUCAUUAAUCCUUAAAAGCAUUUAUUUAUUGGCCCAAGUCUUUCAUAAUUUAUAGUGAUGCACGAAUGUACAAUGACCAUGUUGCAAUGAUUAUGCUGGUGUGUGACAGGCAUGUUUUGCACAUUACAUUAAUUGAUGCUUUAAAAUAACAUGUAAUAAUAAAAUCAUAGGGGCGGAUGAAAACAAUGACUUCAAAUUAAGCUCACAAACUUAACAAUGUUAUAUAUAUGUAUCAUUAUUACGCGGAUGCAGGAAACAACGAAGACAGCUAAUUAGAAAGAAAAUUAGCGCGUCUCAAAGAUAUAUGAGAACGUUGCGCAUCCACAAGGUGUGAGCAAUAAGUAAAUUGAAAAGUUUGCGGUGUUGAAUGAUCAAUUGAGUAUAGCUACACUACAACCACCAUGUUGGUGGGCGCCCGUAUGUAGCAAAAGGUCAGGGACCAAGCAAUAUUAACUUACUCAUGCAAUUUACACCCUUUUCCAACAAGUUUGGGACCCAUGUUCCCUGGACCAACAACUGCCGAAGGCCAACGACCACAUCUUUCAGAUCACAUAAGAUCCGAUCGAAUCGGAUUGGAUUGGAUUGGAUUGGAUUGGAGCAACAACCGAUGCAAAAUCCACCACGUACAUAUCUCGCUUUCUCUCUCUUUCCUCUUCCACUAGUAGGUGGUUCUUCCCUUCCACGUUUAGUACGUGGAUCUCGUCCUAUGUUCUUCCGUAUAACCGUGAUAUGUAACAGUUGUAGCACCGACACAGUACUACUUUGCGGGCGUCUCCAUUUUCCAGCGUCGCCGUAUAACCGUGAUAUGUAACGGUUACACGACAUAGUUGAUGUGACGUGCAAUCUUCGUGGAGAUAGACCAGUACGGGUGCGAGAGGCUAAAGGGCGAGGAUCAUACUUUGCGCGUACUAAUUAAGAGAUCCGCCAAAGUAUGCUUACAGUGAGCCGGCCUUCUUAAUUACAAAUCAGUUUCAGUUCAGUGGUACUUUUAUUUUAAUUCUGGACUAAAUUACAAUAAAUUUUCUCAUAAAUAUUUAUUUUUUUAUUUUUUUUGACCUUUUAAAACUUUAUAGUUUGUCCAUUUAAUAUUUUAAGUUGUUCCAUUUAGUUCUCUCCAUCCGCCAAAGUUCAAUCACUAUUCCGUCUAUUUUUUUUAUAAUUUAUAUCAAAAAUAUUUUUUAAAUAAUAAAAAUAUAUUAUAAAUUUAUUUCUUUAAUAAAAAAGUGAGAAUAAUUUGAUCAUUUUGUCCUCUCCAUUAAUACUGUACUCUCUUGAAAAUAUUUCUGAAAUUUUAAGAGGGUAAAAUAUAAAUUUUUAAAAGUCUGAGAGUAGGGACGAAGCUAGGAUUCAAUUUUGAGGGGGGCCAAAAUAUAUUUAAAUAGAAAUUUUAGUAAAAAAUAAUAAACAAAAUUUUUUCUAAUUAAAAAUUUUUUAUUAAAAAAAUAUUAAUUAAAUAAAUAAUGUAAAAGUAUGAAUUUUAUAUUUUUUAUUUUCAUAUAUUUAACUUCUAAUUAUUUUUUUUAUAUUAUUACAUUAAAAUAACUCAGAAAUUUUACUAAAUCUAACAGUAAUUUCUUAGUUUUUUAAUAAAUAAAAUUAACAUACCUAUUAAAUUUAGUGCAAUUUUUGAUUUAGUCAAAUAAAAGAGCUCACCUAAGAUAAAUAAAAGUUUUAAAAAAUUAUUAAAUAAAAUUUUUAGAGUAGAGAAAUAUAUUACAAAAUACUCUAUAAGCAAGAAGCUUUUAAUAUAUUUUCACCUAUAAAAAUUUUAUUUAAUAAUUUUUCAAAACUUUUAUUUAAUAAAAUUUUUAGAGUAGAGAAAUAUAUUACAAAAUACUCUAUAAGCAAGAAGCUUUUAAUAUAUUUUCACCCAUAAAAAGAGUAUACUGAUUAGGAGAAAGAGAAAGAAAGAGUUAUACUGUCACCAUCCUAUUAAGUAAAUAUUGAAAAAUUAGGGGGCUAAAGCUAUCCAUGGUUUAAAAAAAAAAAAUAAAAACUUUUGAAAGACCAUUAAACAAAUAUUGAAAAGUUGAGGGAGGCCAUAGCCACCUUGGGCCUCCAUAUAGCUUCGUCCCUGUCUGAGAGAAAAAUGAAAAAAAAGAUAUUCACAUAAUAGAGUUUUUCUGUAAUCUAGCUGAUGCCGUUAUAUAUAGUAGAAUAUUUGAUAAGAAGAAAAUGUAAGUUUU
RNAcentral lists this long non-coding RNA (4055 nucleotides) under Ananas comosus (pineapple). RNAcentral describes it as "long non-coding RNA (ACOM_LNC000790)". Lineage: Eukaryota; Viridiplantae; Streptophyta; Magnoliopsida; Poales; Bromeliaceae. The record is from RNAcentral.